UGUUUUCAGGGUGAUUUGCUUGUGGAACUUAAAUAAAGUAAUUCAAGCUUCGCGUUCAAAUUGCUUAGUACUUCCGAUUAAUUUAUUAAAUUGUGGGCCUGAGCAAAUUGCUUUGAAGAUGCCGGCAUUUGCGAUGCUUUGAUGUGUAUGCAGCGCCGGCUAGGAGGAUUCAAUACAAUUAAUAUACAAAACUAAGCAACGAUUGUUUUCCAUACUUAUAGCGAUUAUCAGAGGAAAAAGAGGAUAAACGGUUAGUUAAUUUACUACCUGAAGAAAGGUUAGCUGAAAAACUACGCUGGAAAUAGUCACAAAAUAAAAAGUCGCCACAUUUCCCACAGUUCAUUGAAGAUUUACUUCGUAGCUUAUGUGUGAAUUGUAAAUUCUUAAUCUGUCACGGGCAUGCAUAAGGUGAAAUUGAAUGUUGAGAGUGAAGUUUGGACGCGGAAAAGUUUAAAAUAGAGAAACAUAACGCAAAAAAACUUCGAAACAAUGGAAAAAUUAAAGUCUCACUGCGUACAGAAAGUGAUAUAUUAUAUGAUAUUGAUGGCUAUCAGAAAUACACCUUGGCUGGCUGCUAACGACUAUGAUGACUUCAGUUGAGAAGCGCAUACCAUAUUGAAUAAAAAAUGUUUGCUUCAUGUUUUUUGUGUAAAAUCAAUCGCUAUGAUUUACAUCUAAAACUGUACACUUAAAAAUUCUGGAUAACAAAUUUCUAACAUGCUUGUGAAUUCAUUUUAUAUAAUUAUUCUUUAUUAAAUAUGUAUACAAGAAAAAAAAUAUAUUUAUUUUACACUUUGUGAAAUCGAUGAUGAAUGAGAAUUUUAAAUUUUUUU
Anastrepha ludens (Mexican fruit fly) is the source of this 833-nucleotide long non-coding RNA. RefSeq lists it as uncharacterized. The transcript is spliced from 4 exons. Lineage: Eukaryota; Metazoa; Arthropoda; Insecta; Diptera; Tephritidae. The record is from RefSeq and is a predicted model, not a curated record.